RNAcentral lists this ribosomal RNA (695 nucleotides) under Escherichia coli. RNAcentral describes it as "partial 23S ribosomal RNA". It matches the Rfam family "Bacterial large subunit ribosomal RNA", at positions 614 to 1309 of the family's 2925-position model. Lineage: Bacteria; Pseudomonadati; Pseudomonadota; Gammaproteobacteria; Enterobacterales; Enterobacteriaceae. The record is from RNAcentral.
AAUGGGUCAGCGACUUAUAUUCUGUAGCAAGGUUAACCGAAUAGGGGAGCCGAAGGGAAACCGAGUCUUAACUGGGCGUUAAGUUGCAGGGUAUAGACCCGAAACCCGGUGAUCUAGCCAUGGGCAGGUUGAAGGUUGGGUAACACUAACUGGAGGACCGAACCGACUAAUGUUGAAAAAUUAGCGGAUGACUUGUGGCUGGGGGUGAAAGGCCAAUCAAACCGGGAGAUAGCUGGUUCUCCCCGAAAGCUAUUUAGGUAGCGCCUCGUGAAUUCAUCUCCGGGGGUAGAGCACUGUUUCGGCAAGGGGGUCAUCCCGACUUACCAACCCGAUGCAAACUGCGAAUACCGGAGAAUGUUAUCACGGGAGACACACGGCGGGUGCUAACGUCCGUCGUGAAGAGGGAAACAACCCAGACCGCCAGCUAAGGUCCCAAAGUCAUGGUUAAGUGGGAAACGAUGUGGGAAGGCCCAGACAGCCAGGAUGUUGGCUUAGAAGCAGCCAUCAUUUAAAGAAAGCGUAAUAGCUCACUGGUCGAGUCGGCCUGCGCGGAAGAUGUAACGGGGCUAAACCAUGCACCGAAGCUGCGGCAGCGACACUAUGUGUUGUUGGGUAGGGGAGCGUUCUGUAAGCCUGCGAAGGUGUGCUGUGAGGCAUGCUGGAGGUAUCAGAAGUGCGAAUGCUGACAUAAGUAA